UAUUAGAAUUUUCACAUACUUUUAUAUCAAUUUUUUUUAACAAUAAUUGUGUCCUCUGUCUUUUUUUCUUUAAGUACUUUUUAAAGCCUUGUUGCAUCUCAUUUUUUUUGUUGAACGUCGUCCGGUUGAAGAGUAACACCACCGGCUAUGUACCAAGGUUUCCUUCAUAUGGUUUUCGACCUCCCAAUCUCGGUCUCUUUGUUUCGAUUUCACGGACAACAAUUCUCACCUACAUUUUCUUUAAAGAUUUCGUUUGGACGGUUUCCGUCUAUCGGAAUCUUUUUAUCUCUUUGUUCUCAGAGGUGUUUACAACCCUAACGGGUUUAUUCCUUUAUAUGUUCUUCAUUACUCAUUCAAGUUUCACCUUCUAGUAGGUGCUAUUACAUUUGUGCCGGACUAUAUCCACAUUUAGAUCUUUGUAUUAUUUGAUGGGUAGUUUCCGAUAUUUAAUGCAAUAAUUGCCGAG
RNAcentral lists this long non-coding RNA (466 nucleotides) under Eutrema salsugineum. RNAcentral's name for it is "long non-coding RNA (ESAL_LNC000546)". Lineage: Eukaryota; Viridiplantae; Streptophyta; Magnoliopsida; Brassicales; Brassicaceae. The record is from RNAcentral.